GUCCACGCCGUAAACGAUGGGCACUAGGCGUCGGGGGAGCGACCCUCCCGGUGCCGUCGCUAACGCAGUAAGUGCCCCGCCUGGGGAGUACGGCCGCAAGGCUGAAACUCAAAGGAAUUGACGGGGCCCGCACAAGCGGUGGAGCAUGUGGUUUAAUUCGAAGCAACGCGAAGAACCUUACCUGGGCUUGACAUGCAUGGGAAGGCCGGUGGAAACAUCGGUUCCUCUUCGGAGUCCAUGCACAGGUGCUGCAUGGCUGUCGU
RNAcentral lists this ribosomal RNA (263 nucleotides) under uncultured bacterium. RNAcentral describes it as "partial 16S ribosomal RNA". It matches the Rfam family "Bacterial small subunit ribosomal RNA", at positions 793 to 1055 of the family's 1533-position model. The record is from RNAcentral.